This 492-nucleotide ribosomal RNA is filed under the name uncultured bacterium. RNAcentral describes it as "partial 16S ribosomal RNA". It matches the Rfam family "Bacterial small subunit ribosomal RNA", at positions 29 to 507 of the family's 1533-position model. The record is from RNAcentral.
AGUGAACGCUGGCGGUAGGCCUAACACAUGCAAGUCGAACGGCAGCACAGUAAGAGCUUGCUCUUACGGGUGGCGAGUGGCGGACGGGUGAGGAAUACAUCGGAAUCUACUUUUUCGUGGGGGAUAACGUAGGGAAACUUACGCUAAUACCGCAUACGACCUACGGGUGAAAGCAGGGGAUCUUCGGACCUUGCGCGAUUGAAUGAGCCGAUGUCGGAUUAGCUAGUUGGCGGGGGAAAGGCCCACCAAGGCGACGAUCCGUAGCUGGUCUGGGAGGCUGAUCAGCCACACUGGCACUGAGACACGGUCCCGACUCCUACGGGAGGCAGCCGUGGGGAAUAUUGGACAAUGGGCGCAAGCCUGAUCCAGCCAUACCGCGUGGGUGAAGAAGGCCUUCGGGUUGCAAAGCCCUUUUGUUGGGAAAGAAAAGCAGCAGGUUAAUACCCCGCUGUUCUGACGGUACCCAAAGAAUAAGCACCGGCUAACUUCGUG